Non-coding RNA from Cajanus cajan (pigeon pea), 399 nucleotides. Lineage: Eukaryota; Viridiplantae; Streptophyta; Magnoliopsida; Fabales; Fabaceae. The record is from RefSeq and is a predicted model, not a curated record.
GUUAUUUGAGAAAGUUAAGGCAUUAUAAGAAGUCUGCAUUUUGAAGCAUGUUAUUACCAGGCAAUUGAAGCAGCUAUAGAACUGAAUCUUAAAACAGUAGAGGCGGGAGCUCAGGGUGAACACAAGAUUUAACGUGGAUAUCUUCCUGUGACAACUUUUAGCUGUCAUUACCUUGUUGAUGAAGAAUUUAGGGAAGCUAUACAAGAAUUUUUAAUACGUGAAGCUUCCCAGGCACCUGACUUGGAAUCACCCAGAAAUGGAAAGCCUUCCUCUGAAGGGAGUCAUAUUCCUGAAGGCCAUGACUUAGAUUCACCUAGCACUGUUUAGUUUAUUUUUUGCUUUUAAUUUAUGCACUCUAAUUAAGAAAUUUAAAUACAUACUUCUAUGUUUUCUUUGAAU